AACGCACAUUGCGCCCGCCAGCACUCUGGCGGGCAUGCCUGUCCGAGCGUCGUUUCAGCCCUCGAGCCCCCCCGGGGGCCCGGUGUUGGGGGCCGGCCCAGGCCGCCCCCGAAACGCAGUGGCGACCGCCGCCGCCGCCUCCCCUGCGCAGUAGCACACGCCUCGCACGGGGGCGCGUAGGCGGUCACGCCGUGAAACGCCCGAACCUCCUCGGAAGAUGACCUCGGAUCAGGCAGGGCUACCCGCUGAACUUAA
RNAcentral lists this unclassified non-coding RNA (255 nucleotides) under uncultured fungus. Its description in RNAcentral is "sequence contains ITS2". Lineage: Eukaryota; Fungi. The record is from RNAcentral.